AUGACCCAGUCUGGUAAUCCCAGAGGACUUCGAACCCACCCUCUGCUGGUUGGUCCAUUCAGCCACUGCUGCGCACAGAGGCCUCUCUUGCAGUUCGAUCAUUGCUUGCUUCCCCCCGCGCCCUGCGGCAAGAUGGGAGCGGACGAGAGAGACGAGGCAAGGCUUCCUUUCUCUUACAGUUCAACCAUUGAUUUCUUGCUGUGGAGGCUUUCAGAGAUCCCGACCUGCAGCUUGGAUUUUCAUGACGCCUCAUCAAAAACCAAUCCUCUUAUGUGGGAGAGAGGAGACCAAGUGGAAAUACCCCCCCCCCCCUUCUCUGCAUCUUCUUACCAACUCUGGGCAGCCAACUAUGCCUAA
This 357-nucleotide ribosomal RNA is filed under the name Triticum aestivum (bread wheat). RNAcentral's name for it is "partial small subunit ribosomal RNA". The record is from RNAcentral. Lineage: Eukaryota; Viridiplantae; Streptophyta; Magnoliopsida; Poales; Poaceae.